This 1574-nucleotide ribosomal RNA is filed under the name Lactiplantibacillus plantarum. Its description in RNAcentral is "Lactobacillus plantarum 16S ribosomal RNA". It matches the Rfam family "Bacterial small subunit ribosomal RNA". The record is from RNAcentral. Lineage: Bacteria; Bacillati; Bacillota; Bacilli; Lactobacillales; Lactobacillaceae.
UUAAUUUGAGAGUUUGAUCCUGGCUCAGGACGAACGCUGGCGGCGUGCCUAAUACAUGCAAGUCGAACGAACUCUGGUAUUGAUUGGUGCUUGCAUCAUGAUUUACAUUUGAGUGAGUGGCGAACUGGUGAGUAACACGUGGGAAACCUGCCCAGAAGCGGGGGAUAACACCUGGAAACAGAUGCUAAUACCGCAUAACAACUUGGACCGCAUGGUCCGAGCUUGAAAGAUGGCUUCGGCUAUCACUUUUGGAUGGUCCCGCGGCGUAUUAGCUAGAUGGUGGGGUAAUGGCUCACCAUGGCAAUGAUACGUAGCCGACCUGAGAGGGUAAUCGGCCACAUUGGGACUGAGACACGGCCCAAACUCCUACGGGAGGCAGCAGUAGGGAAUCUUCCACAAUGGACGAAAGUCUGAUGGAGCAACGCCGCGUGAGUGAAGAAGGGUUUCGGCUCGUAAAACUCUGUUGUUAAAGAAGAACAUAUCUGAGAGUAACUGUUCAGGUAUUGACGGUAUUUAACCAGAAAGCCACGGCUAACUACGUGCCAGCAGCCGCGGUAAUACGUAGGUGGCAAGCGUUGUCCGGAUUUAUUGGGCGUAAAGCGAGCGCAGGCGGUUUUUAAGUCUGAUGUGAAAGCCUUCGGCUCAACCGAAGAAGUGCAUCGGAAACUGGGAAACUUGAGUGCAGAAGAGGACAGUGGAACUCCAUGUGUAGCGGUGAAAUGCGUAGAUAUAUGGAAGAACACCAGUGGCGAAGGCGGCUGUCUGGUCUGUAACUGACGCUGAGGCUCGAAAGUAUGGGUAGCAAACAGGAUUAGAUACCCUGGUAGUCCAUACCGUAAACGAUGAAUGCUAAGUGUUGGAGGGUUUCCGCCCUUCAGUGCUGCAGCUAACGCAUUAAGCAUUCCGCCUGGGGAGUACGGCCGCAAGGCUGAAACUCAAAGGAAUUGACGGGGGCCCGCACAAGCGGUGGAGCAUGUGGUUUAAUUCGAAGCUACGCGAAGAACCUUACCAGGUCUUGACAUACUAUGCAAAUCUAAGAGAUUAGACGUUCCCUUCGGGACAUGGAUACAGGUGGUGCAUGGUUGUCGUCAGCUCGUGUCGUGAGAUGUUGGGUUAAGUCCCGCAACGAGCGCAACCCUUAUUAUCAGUUGCCAGCAUUAAGUUGGGCACUCUGGUGAGACUGCCGGUGACAAACCGGAGGAAGGUGGGGAUGACGUCAAAUCAUCAUGCCCCUUAUGACCUGGGCUACACACGUGCUACAAUGGAUGGUACAACGAGUUGCGAACUCGCGAGAGUAAGCUAAUCUCUUAAAGCCAUUCUCAGUUCGGAUUGUAGGCUGCAACUCGCCUACAUGAAGUCGGAAUCGCUAGUAAUCGCGGAUCAGCAUGCCGCGGUGAAUACGUUCCCGGGCCUUGUACACACCGCCCGUCACACCAUGAGAGUUUGUAACACCCAAAGUCGGUGGGGUAACCUUUUAGGAACCAGCCGCCUAAGGUGGGACAGAUGAUUAGGGUGAAGUCGUAACAAGGUAGCCGUAGGAGAACCUGCGGCUGGAUCACCUCCUUUCUAAGGAA